GUGGGGAAUUUUGGACAAUGGGCGCAAGCCUGAUCCAGCAAUGCCGCGUGCAGGAAGAAGGCCUUCGGGUUGUAAACUGCUUUUGUACGGAACGAAACGGUCCGGGUUAAUACCCUGGGCUAAUGACGGUACCGUAAGAAUAAGCACCGGCUAACUACGUGCCAGCAGCCGCGGUAAUACGUAGGGUGCAAGCGUUAAUCGGAAUUACUGGGCGUAAAGCGUGCGCAGGCGGUUUUGUAAGACAGGCGUGAAAUCCCCGGGCUCAACCUGGGAAUUGCGCUUGUGACUGCAAGGCUGGAGUGCGGCAGAGGGGGAUGGAAUUCCGCGUGUAGCAGUGAAAUGCGUAGAUAUGCGGAGGAACACCGAUGGCGAAGGCAAUCCCCUGGGCCUGCACUGACGCUCAUGCACGAAAGCAUGGGGAGCAAACAGGAUUAGAUACCCGUGUAGUCC
Molecule: ribosomal RNA, 450 nt
Filed under: uncultured bacterium
Lineage: Bacteria
Description: partial 16S ribosomal RNA
Rfam family: Bacterial small subunit ribosomal RNA
Source: RNAcentral